RNAcentral lists this long non-coding RNA (265 nucleotides) under Phoenix dactylifera (date palm). RNAcentral describes it as "long non-coding RNA (PDAC_LNC002970)". The record is from RNAcentral. Lineage: Eukaryota; Viridiplantae; Streptophyta; Magnoliopsida; Arecales; Arecaceae.
AAACGUGGGGGAAAGAAAUUCUUAAUUCUUCAUUAAACCCUAAUCAUGAAAAUAGUUCCCUAUAUAUAGGGCCCAAAUACACAACUUGCAUAAACCCCCCUUACACAGAAAUAAAUCCUAAUAAACCCACAAAUAAUACAAAUAAGUCCUAAAAUGCAAAUAAGCCCAGAAAUAAAAUAAACCACAAAUAAACCCUAAAAUGCAAAUAAGCCCAGAAAUAAAAUAAUAAAAUAAAUAUGCAAAUAAACGGGUCUGACUCAAUCCG